RNAcentral lists this ribosomal RNA (579 nucleotides) under uncultured bacterium. RNAcentral's name for it is "bacterial SSU rRNA". It matches the Rfam family "Bacterial small subunit ribosomal RNA", at positions 338 to 916 of the family's 1533-position model. The record is from RNAcentral.
CCUACGGGAGGCAGCAGUAAGGAAUAUUGGUCAAUGGAGGCAACUCUGAACCAGCCAUGCCGCGUGCAGGAAGACUGCCCUAUGGGUUGUAAACUGCUUUUAUCCGGGAAUAAACCUACUUACGUGUAAGUAGCUGAAUGUACCGGAAGAAUAAGGAUCGGCUAACUCCGUGCCAGCAGCCGCGGUAAUACGGAGGAUCCAAGCGUUAUCCGGAUUUAUUGGGUUUAAAGGGUGCGUAGGCGGCCUGUUAAGUCAGGGGUGAAAGACGGUAGCUCAACUAUCGCAGUGCCCUUGAUACUGAUGGGCUUGAAUGGACUAGAGGUAGGCGGAAUGAGACAAGUAGCGGUGAAAUGCAUAGAUAUGUCUCAGAACACCGAUUGCGAAGGCAGCUUACUAUGGUCUUAUUGACGCUGAGGCACGAAAGCGUGGGGAUCAAACAGGAUUAGAUACCCUGGUAGUCCACGCCCUAAACGAUGAACACUCGCUGUUGGCGAUACACAGUCAGCGGCUAAGCGAAAGCGUUAAGUGUUCCACCUGGGGAGUACGCCCGCAAGGGUGAAACGUCAAAUGAAUUGACGG